AGUGAACGCUGGCGGUAGGCCUAACACAUGCAAGUCGAACGGCAGCACAGUAAGAGCUUGCUCUUACGGGUGGCGAGUGGCGGACGGGUGAGGAAUACAUCGGAAUCUACUUUUUCGUGGGGGAUAACGUAGGGAAACUUACGCUAAUACCGCAUACGACCUACGGGUGAAAGCAGGGGAUCUUCGGACCUUGCGCGAUUGAAUGAGCCGCUGUCGGAUUAGCUAGUUGGCGGGGUAAAGGCCCACCAAGGCGACGAUCCGUAGCUGGUCGGAGAGGAGGAUAGGCCACAUGGGAACGGAGACAGGGACAAGACGACUAAGGGAGGGAGCAGUGGGGAAUGGUAGACAAUGGGGGGAAGCAUGAUACAGCGAUAGCGCGUGGGUGAAGAAGGCCCUCGGGUUGGAAAGCCCUUUUGUGGGGAAAGAAAAGCAGCAGGUUAAUACCACGCGGUAGUGACGGUACCGAAAGAAGAAGCACCGGCUAACUUCGUG
RNAcentral lists this ribosomal RNA (492 nucleotides) under uncultured bacterium. RNAcentral describes it as "partial 16S ribosomal RNA". It matches the Rfam family "Bacterial small subunit ribosomal RNA", at positions 30 to 507 of the family's 1533-position model. The record is from RNAcentral.